This is a long non-coding RNA of Mustela erminea (ermine), 112 nucleotides long. RefSeq lists it as uncharacterized. Lineage: Eukaryota; Metazoa; Chordata; Mammalia; Carnivora; Mustelidae. The record is from RefSeq and is a predicted model, not a curated record. The transcript is spliced from 4 exons.
CACGGGACUUCCACAGAGGUUAGAGUCCCACGCAGGGAUCGCUCUCACGACCCUGGGAACAUGACCUGAGCUGAAACCAAGAGUUAGAUGCUCAUGGACUGAGCCAUGCAGG